ACUGCUGAAGUACUUCAUUGUGAUGUUAGUCAAUACGGAAUGUUCUUACCAGGAGUUAGUCAGGAAUUGAGGUGCUGUUCAAAGGAACUGCUGAUAUUAACUGAAAAAUUGAGUCAUUAUUCUACUCUGCACUUUUGAAUUUACAGAAAAUGAUGGCAUGUAGCCACAAGUAAAACAUGAUGCUAAACAGAGGUCAAGACCUGGAAAAGUAAAUUCCAAAUUCCAUUGGUUUUCCAAUGGUAGCUAGUAGUAUACAAGCUGCAGUUAAAAAUGAGACUGAUACUAAGAAGUCACAGGUUUCCAGUUCAUUGCUCUCCAGGAACCCAAAUACCAAAACAAAAAUGCCUGUUCAAUACCUGGGUUAGGCUCAUCAAGAAAUAAUGGACAUUUGAAGCAGACUGUUCACACUUGUCCAGUUCAAAUUAUGUUCAUUUAAGCUCCUGAAGUGACCUUGUGACAUACAGUAUUUGGAAUUUGGAUAAAUUUGUUUUGCAUGCACAGCAUUUUGAUUCAAAUUAGGUGCAAACAUUGGAUUGUAUCUCAACCAAUUCUGUGUAAAAGGUCUGACUUUAAAUUUGUGUAAAAGGAAGUCUGGAGGUAACCUGCUUUCAGUUCAGCCUUACUACUUCACCGUGAGUUCCUUUCCUUUCAGCUUGGUAUCAAUUUUAAAAACAAAUCUCAAGAAAAUCACAAUUAUGCCAGCACCUGGAUUAAAAAUAAUAAUACCAUGUGUUAAUUGUCUUUUGUAGCUACUUGACCUGUUUAUGGUGUGGGACUGGUCAACAUAUCUCGCAGAUUAUGGGCAAGCUACAUCCAAGUAUCUAAGGGUGAAUCCCAGCACAGCUCUGAUCCUCCUUGAGAAAAUGAAAGAGACAAACAAAAAGAACAACAUAUUUUCUCAGUUCAGAAAAAAUGACCGUGACAAGCAGAAACUGAUUGAGACAGUAGUGAAACAACUGCGUAGUUUGGUGAAUGGUAUGGCCCAACACACAUAAGACUGUUGCCCUGAUUACAUUGUUGCUAGCCUGUGUCAGUCUUCAACCAGCAUUCAUAUACAACAGACUGUCAAAAGACUCUGAAGGAUAAGACUGUAUCAAGUACAGAAUGAAUCAUUCAGGAAUGUAAAGGGUAGAGUGGAAUAAGAGGAGGAGAAAUGGGUGGAAACUGUUUUGUAUGUGUUUUUCAAAUCAUUUGGUGUUUUAAGAUUUUGAGUAUGUGCAAUGGCCUUUAUUAAGCACCAAAUGUUUAUCAUGUUCAAAACAACCACAAAAAACUAGAAAGCUAAAAAUUAGAGCAUGUUCUUGAUUGUUAGGCAGAGACAACACAGAAGGUGAGUUGGGUAAGUUAACAAAAUAUUUCACAGGUUUUUACUAGUUGCAGCUGCAGUAUCAUUUUGCUUUAGUCUAGCAUAACACUGCUGUCUAAUUUUGUGCAAUUGGUCAAAGGUGACAUUACUUAGUAAAUAAUUUUUUUUUAAAUUAGCCAUGAUGUUCCAAUCUUGCAUACAGAGUUGACUUGUUUCUGUUUCACUUUUUGUUAAACAGAUGUUUUGUAUGUUUUACCAUUAAUGGAUUAAUGUUCAUUCUAACUGUUUUCAUUUUUCACAUUGUGAAAAAAGAUGUUCAGGACUGUUUUAUUCACAUUACAGAUGUUACUGCACAUAAAUUUUGUAUUUUUGAUUUUUACUCAGGGCUGUACUAUGUGAAUUUUGUUGGGUAUUUUGCAGAAGUUUAAAAACGAACUUGAAGCACUAGCCUGUAGCAAUCACAAGUGAUAUGAAAUUACUUUUGAUCUGCUUCAGCAUAUUUCCCUUCUUUCUCUUUGAUACACUUCAUGUGAGAUGUAGAUUAUUGAUGAAUAAUAAUGCUGGUUUUAUUUUGAUUGUUCCUCUGCACUCCCAAUAGGAAAUGUAUUGUAUAGAUGUCUUCACUAUCUUACUGUAUGACCUCCUUUGGCUCCUCUUUGUAAGACAGACAAAAAUGAAGGAAAUUUAAUUCUGUAAAUUGAUUGAUUGCAGUACUUUAUUCUUACUCUGUAAUAAAAGUAACCCUGAGCACUUUUUAA
This is a long non-coding RNA of Rhincodon typus (whale shark), 2064 nucleotides long. RefSeq lists it as uncharacterized. NCBI's taxonomy places the organism in Eukaryota, Metazoa, Chordata, Chondrichthyes, Orectolobiformes, Rhincodontidae. The record is from RefSeq and is a predicted model, not a curated record. The transcript has 2 exons.